UGUUUCACAGUAAACGAAGCGCCGCGCUGCCUCCUCCUGCAUUAUGCAAUAUUUACCAGUGUGCAACACCACGGGCCUUCAAUCUUACUGAAUCCACAGAAUGAACGCUGUUUAACACUGUAGCCAUUCACUGCUACAUGACAUCACUACCUUGCUUACUCACGACCCGACGGCAGCAGCGUGGGGUCUACCUCCGCCCCAACAGAGCUGUUACAAUGUGACGACCAACUUCAUCAGUGUUCGGGGGGCGUGCCUUUCUCUGGCUGCUCACACACCUGGCAGAGGUCGUCACUGCACCUGCACCUCAUCAACCCAGCAGUAUUUUAGGAGCAGCCACACAUCCAGUCAACGCUGGAUUGUUGUGAAGAAUCAUCUCUGGAGAUCGGCCCUGGAUACUCAGUCCCAGAACUCAACUCACUCGGCUCACGCCUCCCUUAAAACAGUGUGUGGACCUCCACCCUCCAAGCCUGUCAGCCAGCCACUCUCAGGAACGUCCCCCACACCUGGACCCCCACUCUUGACCUCCAGCAGCCCCACCUCGCACAAUAACGUUGUCAAAUAAACCGUUGAAAGCAC
Molecule: long non-coding RNA, 576 nt
Organism: Micropterus dolomieu (smallmouth bass)
Lineage: Eukaryota; Metazoa; Chordata; Actinopteri; Centrarchiformes; Centrarchidae
Exons: 3
Source: RefSeq, a predicted model, not a curated record